UAGUGGUUUAAGCACAGGACUUUCCAAUCUGAUAUGAUGUAAAUCACGUAACUAUUCUGAAAGAGUUUAAUCUGUCAAAAUCAAACCACCGCUACCAAAUUGCAAAACCAUGAAGCACAAAGAAAUUUAAUGACAUGAAGUUCAAGACAAAUAAUACAAAGGUGCAUCCUUCGAAAGUAAAUUAAAGCCCCAUAGCCAAACUAAUAACAGGCUCCAUAAAUGGUUAGGAAAUAUGAAAAUGGUAUUUAGUCUUACCUCUCCAAACUUUCAAAAAUAGCACAACACAACAGAAAACAUAUA
This 300-nucleotide unclassified non-coding RNA is filed under the name Hevea brasiliensis (rubber tree). Lineage: Eukaryota; Viridiplantae; Streptophyta; Magnoliopsida; Malpighiales; Euphorbiaceae. The record is from RNAcentral.